RNAcentral lists this ribosomal RNA (429 nucleotides) under Chloroflexota bacterium. RNAcentral's name for it is "Chloroflexi bacterium partial 16S ribosomal RNA". It matches the Rfam family "Bacterial small subunit ribosomal RNA", at positions 355 to 776 of the family's 1533-position model. The record is from RNAcentral. Lineage: Bacteria; Bacillati; Chloroflexota.
UGGGGAAUAUUGCACAAUGGGCGCAAGCCUGAUGCAGCCAUGCCGCGUGUAUGAAGAAGGCCUUCGGGUUGUAAAGUACUUUCAGCGGGGAGGAAGGGAGUAAAGUUAAUACCUUUGCUCAUUGACGUUACCCGCAGAAGAAGCACCGGCUAACUCCGUGCCAGCAGCCGCGGUAAUACGGAGGGUGCAAGCGUUAAUCGGAAUUACUGGGCGUAAAGCGCACGCAGGCGGUUUGUUAAGUCAGAUGUGCAAUCCCCGGGCUCAACCUGGGAACUGCAUCUGAUACUGGCAAGCUUGAGUCUCGUAGAGGGGGGUAGAAUUCCAGGUGUAGCGGUGAAAUGCGUAGAGAUCUGGCGGAAUACCGGUGGCGAAGGCGGCCCCCUGGACGAAGACUGACGCUCAGGUGCGAAAGCGUGGGGAGCAAACAGG